CCUACGGGAGGCAGCAGUGAGGAAUAUUGGUCAAUGGGCGAGAGCCUGAACCAGCCAAGUCGCGUGAGGGAGUACUGCCCUAUGGGUUGUAAACCUCUUUUGUCGGGGAGCAAAAGCCGGACGUUUCCGGCUGUGAGAGUACCCGCAGAAAAAGCAUCGGCUAACUCCGUGCCAGCAGCCGCGGUAAUACGGAGGAUGCGAGCGUUAUCCGGAUUUAUUGGGUUAAAAGGGUGCGCAGGCGGAUUUUUAAGUCAGCGGUAAAAUCGUGGGGCUCAACCCCAUCCAGCCGUUGAAACUGGGGAUCUAGAGUGUGCGAGAGGUAGGCGGAAUGCGUGGUGUAGCGGUGAAAUGCAUAGAUAUCACGCAGAACCCCGAUUGCGAAGGCAGCAUACCGGUGCACAACUGACGCUCAGGCACGAAAGCGUGGGUAUCGAACAGGAUUAGAUACCCCAGUAGUC
This 458-nucleotide ribosomal RNA is filed under the name uncultured bacterium. RNAcentral's name for it is "partial 16S ribosomal RNA". It matches the Rfam family "Bacterial small subunit ribosomal RNA", at positions 338 to 795 of the family's 1533-position model. The record is from RNAcentral.